RNAcentral lists this long non-coding RNA (212 nucleotides) under Panax ginseng (ginseng). Its description in RNAcentral is "long non-coding RNA (PGIN_LNC008759)". Lineage: Eukaryota; Viridiplantae; Streptophyta; Magnoliopsida; Apiales; Araliaceae. The record is from RNAcentral.
UCUAAACUCGUGUCAGUGAACCCCUGCAAGUGCCAGCCAGAUCAUAGUGCAGACUUAGCUUGUUAAGGAAUAAAUACUCAUUUCAUCAAUCAAAAAACACACCCUUUUCAUUUAAUUUGAGAUUAUUUUCUGCAUUUUUUCAGUGUAUACUCGUUUUCUUCCUCCAAUUGGGAAUUUGAGUUUCUUUUUCUAUGUGGGGUUUGGGUAACAUU